AUUAAGAUUUAGUGGAAUUAAAU
RNAcentral lists this non-coding RNA (23 nucleotides) under Cricetulus griseus (Chinese hamster). Lineage: Eukaryota; Metazoa; Chordata; Mammalia; Rodentia; Cricetidae. The record is from RNAcentral.